RNAcentral lists this ribosomal RNA (258 nucleotides) under uncultured bacterium. Its description in RNAcentral is "partial 16S ribosomal RNA". It matches the Rfam family "Bacterial small subunit ribosomal RNA", at positions 96 to 354 of the family's 1533-position model. The record is from RNAcentral.
CGGCGGACGGGUGAGUAACGCGUGGGCAACCUGCCUUACACAGGGGGAUAACAGUUAGAAAUGACUGCUAAUACCGCAUAAGACCACAGUACUGCAUGGUGCAGUGGUAAAAACUCCGGUGGUGUAAGAUGGGCCCGCGUCUGAUUAGGUAGUUGGCGGGGUAACGGCCCACCAAGCCGACGAUCAGUAGCCGACCUGAGAGGGUGACCGGCCACAUUGGGACUGAGACACGGCCCAGACUCCUACGGAAGGCAGCAG